AUUGAACGCUGGCGGCAGGCCUAACACAUGCAAGUCGAGCGGAUGAAGGGAGCUUGCUCCUGGAUUCAGCGGCGGACGGGUGAGUAAUGCCUAGGAAUCUGCCUGGUAGUGGGGGAUAACGUCCGGAAACGGGCGCUAAUACCGCAUACGUCCUGAGGGAGAAAGUGGGGGAUCUUCGGACCUCACGCUAUCAGAUGAGCCUAGGUCGGAUUAGCUAGUUGGUGGGGUAAAGGCCUACCAAGGCGACGAUCCGUAACUGGUCUGAGAGGAUGAUCAGUCACACUGGAACUGAGACACGGUCCAGACUCCUACGGGAGGCAGCAGUGGGGAAUAUUGGACAAUGGGCGAAAGCCUGAUCCAGCCAUGCCGCGUGUGUGAAGAAGGUCUUCGGAUUGUAAAGCACUUUAAGUUGGGAGGAAGGGCAGUAAGUUAAUACCUUGCUGUUUUUACGUUACCAACAGAAUAAGCACCGGCUAACUUCGUG
This 484-nucleotide ribosomal RNA is filed under the name uncultured bacterium. RNAcentral's name for it is "partial 16S ribosomal RNA". It matches the Rfam family "Bacterial small subunit ribosomal RNA", at positions 30 to 507 of the family's 1533-position model. The record is from RNAcentral.